Molecule: ribosomal RNA, 440 nt
Filed under: uncultured bacterium
Lineage: Bacteria
Description: partial 16S ribosomal RNA
Rfam family: Bacterial small subunit ribosomal RNA
Source: RNAcentral
CCUACGGGCGGCAGCAGUGGGGAAUAUUGCACAAUGGGGGAAACCCUGAUGCAGCGACGCCGCGUGAGUGAAGAAGUAUCUCGGUACGUUAAGCUCUAUCAGCAGGAAAGAAACUGACGGUACCUGACUAAGAAGCCCUGUCUAACUACGUGCCAGCAGCCGCGGUACUACGUAGGGGGCAAGCGUUAUCCGGAUUUACUGGGUGUAAAGGGAGCGUAGACGGCGCUGCAAGUCCGGAGGGAACGGUCCUGGCUUAACCAUGGUACUGCACUGGAAACUGUAGAGCUUGAGUGCGGGGGGGGCAGGCGGAAUUCGUAGUGUAGCGGUGAAAUGCGUAGAUAUGAGGAGGAACACCGACUGCGAAGGCGGCCUGCUGGAGCGUAACUGACGUUGAGGCUCGAAAGCGUGGGGAGCGAACAGGAUUAGAUACCCGAGUAGUC